Molecule: ribosomal RNA, 435 nt
Filed under: uncultured bacterium
Lineage: Bacteria
Description: partial 16S ribosomal RNA
Rfam family: Bacterial small subunit ribosomal RNA
Source: RNAcentral
AGCGAACGCUGGCGGCAGGCUUAACACAUGCAAGUCGAGCGGGCACUUUCGGGUGUCAGCGGCGGACGGGUGAGUAACGCGUGGGAACGUGCCCUCUGGUUCGGAAUAACUCAGGGAAACUUGAGCUAAUACCGGAUACGCCCUUUUGGGGAAAGGCUUGCUGCCGGAGGAUCGGCCCGCGUCUGAUUAGCUAGUUGGUGAGGUAACGGCUCACCAAUGCGACGAUUAGUAGCCGGUCUGAGAGGUUGAUCAGCCACACUGGGACUGAGACACGGCCCAGACUCCUGCGGGAGGCCGCAGUGGGGAAUAUUGGACAAUGGGCGCAAGCCUGAGCCAGCCAUGCCGCGUGAGUGAUGAAGGCCUUAGGGUUGUAAAGCUCUUUUAUCCGGGACGUUAAUGACGGUACCGGAGGAAUAAGCCCCGGCUAACUUCGUG